ACGAGACACGUGAAACCUUGUGGGAAGCAGGGAGGACCACCUCCCAAGGCUAAAUACUACCUGAUGACCGAUAGUGAAGCAGUACCGUGAGGGAAAGGUGAAAAGAACCCCGGGAGGGGAGUGAAAUAGAACCUGAAACCGUGUGCCUACAACCGCUCAGAGCCCCUUAUGAGGGUGAUGAGGUGCUUUUUGUAGAACGAGCCAACGAGUUACGGUAUGUAGCAAGGUUAAGUACUUAAGGUACGGAGCCGAAGGGAAACCGAGUCUGAAUAGGGCGACUAGUUGCAUGCCGUAGACCCGAAACCGGGUGACCUAUCCAUGGCCAGGUUGAAGCGAGGGUAAAACCUCGUGGAGGACCGAACCACGUUGCUGUUGAAAAAGCAUGGGAUGAGCUGUGGAUAGCGGAGAAAUUCCAAUCGAACCCGGAGAUAGCUGGUUCUCUCCGAAAUAGCUUUAGGGCUAGCGUCGAGUAUGAGUAGUGGAGGUAGAGCACUGAAUGGGCUAGGGGGCAUAGCGCUUACCGAACCUUAUCAAACUCCGAAUGCCACAUACUUUGAGCUCGGCAGUCAGACUACGAAUGAUAAGAUCCGUGGUCAAAAGGGAAACAGCCCAGAUCGUCAGC
RNAcentral lists this ribosomal RNA (622 nucleotides) under Clostridium perfringens. Its description in RNAcentral is "partial 23S ribosomal RNA". It matches the Rfam family "Bacterial large subunit ribosomal RNA", at positions 417 to 1039 of the family's 2925-position model. Lineage: Bacteria; Bacillati; Bacillota; Clostridia; Eubacteriales; Clostridiaceae. The record is from RNAcentral.